GUGGGGAAUAUUGGACAAUGGGCGAAAGCCUGAUCCAGCCAUGCCGCGUGUGUGAAGAAGGUCUUCGGAUUGUAAAGCACUUUAAGUUGGGAGGAAGGGCAUUAACCUAAUACGUUAGUGUUUUGACGUUACCAACAGAAUAAGCACCGGCUAACUUCGUGCCAGCAGCCGCGGUAAUACGAAGGGUGCAAGCGUUAAUCGGAAUUACUGGGCGUAAAGCGCGCGUAGGUGGUUCAGCAAGUUGAAGGUGAAAUCCCCGGGCUCAACCUGGGAACUGCCUCCAAAACUACUGAGCUAGAGUACGGUAGAGGGUAGUGGAAUUUCCUGUGUAGCGGUGAAAUGCGUAGAUAUAGGAAGGAACACCAGUGGCGAAGGCGACUACCUGGACUGAUACUGACACUGAGGUGCGAAAGCGUGGGGAGCAAACAGGAUUAGAAACCCGGGUAGUCC
RNAcentral lists this ribosomal RNA (450 nucleotides) under uncultured bacterium. Its description in RNAcentral is "bacterial SSU rRNA". It matches the Rfam family "Bacterial small subunit ribosomal RNA", at positions 354 to 796 of the family's 1533-position model. The record is from RNAcentral.